GACGAACGCUGGCGGCGUGCUUAACACAUGCAAGUCGAACGGAAAGGCCCUGCUUUCGUGGGGUGCUCGAGUGGCGAACGGGUGAGUAACACGUGAGUAACCUGCCCUUGACUUUGGGAUAACUUCAGGAAACUGGGGCUAAUACCGGAUAGGAGCUCCUGCUGCAUGGUGGGGGUUGGAAAGUUUCGGCGGUUGGGGAUGGACUCGCGGCUUAUCAGCUUGUUGGUGGGGUAGUGGCUUACCAAGGCUUUGACGGGUAGCCGGCCUGAGAGGGUGACCGGCCACAUUGGGACUGAGAGACGGCACAGACGCCUACGGGAGGAAGCAGUGGGGAAUAUUGCACAAUGGGCGGAAGCCUGAUGCAGCAACGCCGCGUGCGGGAUAACGGCCUUCGGGUUGUAAACCGCUUUCGCCUGUGACGAAGCGUGAGUGACGGUAAUGGGUAAAGAAGCACCGGCUAACUACGUG
RNAcentral lists this ribosomal RNA (468 nucleotides) under uncultured bacterium. RNAcentral's name for it is "partial 16S ribosomal RNA". It matches the Rfam family "Bacterial small subunit ribosomal RNA", at positions 28 to 507 of the family's 1533-position model. The record is from RNAcentral.